GACGAACGCUGGCGGCAUGCCUAACACAUGCAAGUCGAACGAGACGUUCGGGUCUUUGGGCGCACGGCUGCGUAAGGCGUGGGAAGCUGCACUUGGGUUCGGAAUACCUCCCCGAAGGGGAUCCUAAUGACAGAUAGUCUCUUAGCGCCAAAGAUCUCUUGCCUUUGGCUGGGGCCUGGUUGGAUUCGGUAGUUGGUAGGGUAAAAGCCUACCAAGGGCUCGAUGCAUAGCUGGUCUGUGAGGAUGAUCAGCUACACUAGGACUGAGACACGGCCCAGACUCCUACGGGAGGGAGGAGUGGGGAAUAUUGGACAAUGGGGGAAGGGCUGAUCCAGCAAGGCCCGGGAAGUGAUGAUGGCCUUAGGGUUCUAAAGUUGUCUUAACCGGGACGAUAAUGACAGUACCGGGUGAAUAAGCUCCGGCUAACUACGUG
Molecule: ribosomal RNA, 433 nt
Filed under: uncultured bacterium
Lineage: Bacteria
Description: partial 16S ribosomal RNA
Rfam family: Bacterial small subunit ribosomal RNA
Source: RNAcentral